This 609-nucleotide unclassified non-coding RNA is filed under the name Athalia rosae (coleseed sawfly). Its description in RNAcentral is "misc RNA ENSAEAG00005003291.1". The record is from RNAcentral. Lineage: Eukaryota; Metazoa; Arthropoda; Insecta; Hymenoptera; Athaliidae.
UGAGACGAGAACUCGGUGCCACAUGUAGAACAGACAAACAUACGCUGCAUCCCAUCAGUUUCGUUAUCGUGUACCUUCAUAUGUAGUUGUAACGCCCUGGCAGUUGCGAAUGCUUGGUCACAAUGGCUGCAUUGAUUAUUGCCAUGGAGGCAGACAUGAACUCGAAAAUCUCCCAACUUUGCAAAAUGUUCAAGGCACUGGUUGCAUCGGUACAUCCGGGUAGGUCCUGUCGGCGAAUUCUUGUCCCUAACCUGAAGGAUUAUUAGUGAUCAGAGAACGGUCAAGUUAUUAAACAUGGAGGUUGAAGCGAUGCUGUUGGUCGAUCCCAGAAUCUUUCUAUUUGUACAACUUUUCUUGUAUAUAAUCGACCUUCGCUGUCGACACAUUCCUCAGUUCGUAAAGUAUUCAUCAUUUGACGUUGUCGAUUGGAUAUUACCGAAGUUUGCUCCUCAGGAGGACUAACUGAGGCAGGUGUCGGUAAAUCGUCUAACUGUUGCUCUGCCAUCUCUAAGACAACUUCUUGUCCAUCAUGGAAUUGUUUGAUAUGCUCCAGAACAGAGUUGAAACUCAUUCCACAACUACUACAGCUAUAUAAUGCCUCAGCUUCUA